This 484-nucleotide ribosomal RNA is filed under the name uncultured bacterium. Its description in RNAcentral is "bacterial SSU rRNA". It matches the Rfam family "Bacterial small subunit ribosomal RNA", at positions 27 to 507 of the family's 1533-position model. The record is from RNAcentral.
GAGUGAACGCGUAGCGGGAGGGCUUAACACAUGCAAGUCGAGGGGGUAAAAUGGUAGCAAUACUAUGAGACCCGGGAACGGGUGCGUAACGCGUAUGCAACUUACCUUAUGCAGGGGGAUAGCCCGUGGAAACGCGGAUUAAUAUCCCAUAGAUCAGUAAUAUCGCAUGGUAUAACUGGUAAAACUCAGGUGGCAUAAGAUGGGCAUGCGUCUGAUUAGCUAGUUGGUAGGGUAACGGCCUACCAAGGCGACGAUCAGUAGGGGUUCUGAGAGGAUUAACCCCCACACUGGUACUGAGACACGGACCAGACUCCUACGGGAGGCAGCAGUGAGGAAUAUUGGUCAAUGGGCGCAAGCCUGAACCAGCCAUCCCGCGUGAAGGAAGAAGGCCCUACGGGUUGUAAACUUCUUUUCUGUUUGAAGAAUAAGCUCGUCGAGACGAGUGAUGCCGGUAGGACAGGAAUAAGCAUCGGCUAACUCCGUG